GCCGUGUGUGGUGGUGCACGCCUGUCCCUGCUACUUGGGAGGCUGAGGCAGGAGGAUUGCUUGAGCCCAGGAGGUCAAGGCUGCAGUGAGCGAUGAUAAUGCCACUGCCGUCUAGCCUGGGCAACAGAGUGAGACCCUGUCUCUU
Non-coding RNA from Pan troglodytes (chimpanzee), 145 nucleotides. It matches the Rfam family "Metazoan signal recognition particle RNA". Rfam says of the family: The signal recognition particle (SRP) is a universally conserved ribonucleoprotein. It is involved in the co-translational targeting of proteins to membranes. The eukaryotic SRP consists of a 300-nucleotide 7S RNA and six proteins: SRPs 72, 68, 54, 19, 14, and 9. The record is from Rfam. Lineage: Eukaryota; Metazoa; Chordata; Mammalia; Primates; Hominidae.